GGUCGAUGCCUGUGGAUUCUGAAAGAUGACGGAUAAGGCCGGAUAACUGGCUUGAGACCAACUGGCUAAGGCUGUGAUAUGCGUGGCAUAGCGCCAAGGAUACAGUGGCGAGAUGAUUCCACCUCCUGCCAAGAGGCCUCACGCCGGCCGGCCACGGUCAAAAAGACGCACCGCUCUGCCGUUUCUGCCAGCUCAAGUGC
RNAcentral lists this ribosomal RNA (200 nucleotides) under uncultured eukaryote. RNAcentral's name for it is "partial 18S ribosomal RNA". The record is from RNAcentral.